UACGGAGGGUGCAAGCGUUAAUCGGAAUUACUGGGCGUAAAGCGCGCGUAGGUGGUUUGGUAAGCGAGAUGUGAAAGCCCCGGGCUUAACCUGGGAACGGCAUUUCGAACUGUCAGACUAGAGUGUGGUAGAGGGUAGUGGAAUUUCCUGUGUAGCGGUGAAAUGCGUAGAUAUAGGAAGGAACACCAGUGGCGAAGGCGGCUACCUGGACUAGAUCUGACGCUCAGGUGCGAAAGCGUGGGGAGCAAACAGG
This 253-nucleotide ribosomal RNA is filed under the name uncultured microorganism. RNAcentral describes it as "partial 16S ribosomal RNA". It matches the Rfam family "Bacterial small subunit ribosomal RNA", at positions 524 to 776 of the family's 1533-position model. The record is from RNAcentral.